Long non-coding RNA from Anas platyrhynchos (mallard), 1472 nucleotides. RefSeq lists it as uncharacterized. The record is from RefSeq and is a predicted model, not a curated record. Lineage: Eukaryota; Metazoa; Chordata; Aves; Anseriformes; Anatidae.
CCAGUGAGGAAAUACAUGGCUUAGUUUUGUGCUUUUCUUCUUAAGAGCUCAUUAUAUAUUGCUCUCCUGGCCAUUAAAGCUUAGCUCUCUGGCUUAUGUGAAAGCCCUGUUUCCUGAUCUCUGCGUUAUCCCAACCUUGACCUAAUUCACGCAGUUUCUGACUGAGAGAGUGUUUUGCAGGUCCAUUUAUCUACUUGGCUUCGAACAGAUGCUGCGGCGAGAUCAUUUUAGAUGGAGUCUCUUCUCGUCUUGGGAGUGAAUUAGGGAAUAAGGCAGAGAAUUAGGGAAUCAGGCUGAUCGCUUAAUAUCGUGGCUCAGUGAUUUUCAGACUUCUCUGAUCUGAUAACGCUCGCACAUCUUCUAAGGGAGGUGCAAACUCCAGAUAGCAGAUUUAAGGCUGCUGACAUUUAACUAGCUUUCCUUGUUAUUUUUCUCAGACUCUUAAAAUUAGGCUCUGGCCCUGGGGAGCCUGCAGUUUGCAGGCUGAAAACCACUGAUAACAAACUUUUCUUGAUAAGGCAGUUUGUCUUCAGUGCACAGAGGUGUCACAGAAACCACUGAGGUGUUCAGGAGGAAAUGGGGCUCAGGUGAGGGAGCCCAGUUCAGUGUGGUAACCUCAAGCUUGGGCAACUCUCAAGGGCUGACGUGGACCUGGACUGGUGUCACUGCUUCAGGCAAGAUCUUCAGUAGCUGGAUUUGUGCCUUCUAAGCCAGCAGCUCUGCCUCUACAGUGUUAAUUCACCAAGGAUCCUCUGGAAAAUAACAGCCUGCCUUAACUUCUCAGGGGGGUCUCUCCCCUCCACCAACAGCAGAUCGUCUGUGAUGACAAGUGACUUGUGAAUGAUCCUCGGGGCAGAUCUCAUCUACACUUGGCCAUGAUAAACAAGAAACCAACAAAUCCUAGGGAGAUAACUGAUGGCAGCCCUGCUCUGCAAAAUACCAUGCUGUAGUGACACGACAGAAAAUACCUAAGGUCUCAGCCAGGGUCCCUCAGCAGCUCAUGGACAAGCACUUUUCUUGCAGCUGAUUUUCCAGCCAUGGAGCAGCACCUUCAGCUCAGCCCGUUCGGUGCCCCCGCAUGCUUUCUGGUAUUUACCUUCGCUUUUCCAGCUUCUUCCUCCCAUCUGGUCUCCUGCAUUUGUUGCCAAGAGCUACCCUUGCUCGUUGUGAGUAAGUCAUCACUGUGUGGUUUAAACUGAUUUUGGGGGAACCAAGCCAGCAAACGGUGGCCAUGAAACAACCACAAACCGGUGUUGCUGCUGCGGGUUACAAGCAACACUCUGAGCUGACUUCACUCUGAUUGCUGGCUCUGAGCCGUGGCUUUCUGACCUGAGCAGCAGAGCAGAACGAUUAGCCAUAUAAGUGCAAGGCAGGGGCUGUAUUUUGGAUUAUUCAGAUUAUCAAACUCUCAAUCUCUGCAUCUGGCAUAAUCACCGUUUCAUUGCCUGCUUCCUCUGUUAGCUAAAAGUGCA